CCUACGGGAGACAGCAGUGAGGAAUAUUGGGCAAUGGAGGCAACUCUGACCCAGCCAUGCCGCGUGAGUGAAGAAGGUCUUCGGAUUGUAAAGCUCUUUCGGAUGUGACGGUGAUGACGGUAGCAUCUAAAGAAGCUCUGGCUAACUUCGUGCCAGCAGCCGCGGUAAUACGAAGGGGGCAAGCGUUGUUCGGAAUUACUGGGCGUAAAGGGAGUGUAGGCGGUUUAGUAAGAUAGUGGUGAAAUCCCAGGGCUUAACUUUGGAAUUGCCAUUAUAACUAUUAGACUAGAAUGACAGAGAGGAUAGUGGAAUACCCAGUGUAGAGGUGAAAUGCGUAGAUAUUGGGUAGAACACCAGUGGCGAAGGCGACUAUCUGGCUGGACAUUGACGCUGAGGCUCGAAAGCAUGGGGAUCAAACAGGAUUAGAUACCCCUGUAGUC
This 440-nucleotide ribosomal RNA is filed under the name uncultured bacterium. RNAcentral's name for it is "partial 16S ribosomal RNA". It matches the Rfam family "Bacterial small subunit ribosomal RNA", at positions 338 to 795 of the family's 1533-position model. The record is from RNAcentral.